This 516-nucleotide ribosomal RNA is filed under the name Triticum aestivum (bread wheat). RNAcentral's name for it is "partial small subunit ribosomal RNA". The record is from RNAcentral. Lineage: Eukaryota; Viridiplantae; Streptophyta; Magnoliopsida; Poales; Poaceae.
AUGGAGUCAAACCCGCAGGCGGAGACAAUCAGCGACCCGUUCUUGGCGGCGACCUCGUGGAGGUCGGCCUCGACGCGCUCCAUGAACUCGGGCUCGCCGGAGAUGUCGAGGCAGUCGGCCCCCGCCUCGGCGCAGGCCGCGGCCACCUGGCGGCCGUGGAGGCGGAAGGGCCCUGCGCAGGAGAGCAGGACGCGCGCCCGCGCGGCGACCGCGGCGAGGGAGGCCGGGUCGGAGGCGUCGGCGACGAGGAUGGGGACGUCGGGGGCGGGCCCCGGCGCGGCGGCCCAGCGUAGCGCGGCGGCGACGCGGUCCCGGCUGCGGCCCGCGAGCGCGAGGGAACGCAGCGGGGAGGCGUUGGGGGGCAGGAACUUGAGCGCCUCGCGGAUGACGUACUUGCCGGUGAAGCCCGAGGCCCCGAAGAUGACGACGUCGAACACCUCCGGCCCCGGCACUGGCGCCGCCAUGGAAGAGGGGCUUGGGCUCUCACUCGGGUGCGGCGCGUUGGAGUUGGACUGA